Molecule: ribosomal RNA, 497 nt
Filed under: uncultured bacterium
Lineage: Bacteria
Description: partial 16S ribosomal RNA
Rfam family: Bacterial small subunit ribosomal RNA
Source: RNAcentral
GAUGAACGCUGGCGGCGUGCCUAAUACAUGCCAGUCGAGCGAACAGACGAGGAGCUUGCUCCUCUGACGUUAGCGGCGGACGGGUGAGUAACACGUGGAUAACCUACCUAUAAGACUGGGAUAACUUCGGGAGACCGGAGCUAAUACCGGAUAAUAUAUUGAACCGCAUGGUUCAAUAGUGAAUGACGGUUUUGCUGUCACUUAUAGAUGGAUCCGCGCCGCAUUAGCUAGUUGGUAAGGUAACGGCUUACCAAGGCGACGAUGCGUAGCCGACCUGAGAGGGUGAUCGGCCACACUGGAACUGAGACACGGUCCAGACUCCUACGGGAGGCAGCAGUAGGGAAUCUUCCGCAACGGGCGAAAGCCUGACGGAGCAACGCCGCGUGAGUGAUGAAGGUCUUCGGAUCGUAAAACUCUGUUAUUAGGGAAGAACAAAUGUGUAAGUAACUAUGCACGUCUUGACGGUACCUAAUCAGAAAGCCACGGCUAACUACGUG